AACGAACGCUGGCGGCAUGCCUAACACAUGCAAGUCGAACGAGACCUUCGGGUCUAGUGGCGCAUGGGUGCGUAACGCGUGGGAACCUGCCUUUAGGUUCGGAAUAACUCAGAGAAAUUUGAGCUAAUACCGGAUAAUGUCUUCGGACCAAAGAUUUAUCGCCUUUAGAUGGGCCCGCGUUGGAUUAGCUAGUUGGUGGGGUAAAGGCCUACCAAGGCGACGAUCCAUAGCUGGUCUGAGAGGAUGAUCAGCCACACUGGGACUGAGACACGGCCCAGACUCCUACGGGAGGCAGCAGUGGGAAUAUUGGACAAUGGGCGAAAGCCUGAUCCAGCAAUGCCGCGUGAGUGAUGAAGGCCUUAGGGUUGUAAAGNUCUUUUACCCGAGAUGAUAAUGACAGUAUCGGGAGAAUAAGCUCCGGCUAACUCCGUGCCAGCAGCCGCGGUAAUGUGACUAC
Molecule: ribosomal RNA, 457 nt
Filed under: uncultured bacterium
Lineage: Bacteria
Description: bacterial SSU rRNA
Rfam family: Bacterial small subunit ribosomal RNA
Source: RNAcentral